RNAcentral lists this ribosomal RNA (403 nucleotides) under Verrucomicrobiota bacterium. Its description in RNAcentral is "Verrucomicrobia bacterium partial 16S ribosomal RNA". It matches the Rfam family "Bacterial small subunit ribosomal RNA", at positions 355 to 776 of the family's 1533-position model. The record is from RNAcentral. Lineage: Bacteria; Pseudomonadati; Verrucomicrobiota.
UGGGGAAUAUUGCACAAUGGGGGAAACCCUGAUGCAGCGACGCCGCGUGAGCGAAGAAGGCUUUCGAGUCGUAAAGCUCUGUCCUAUGAGAAGAUAAUGACGGUAUCAUAGGAGGAAGCCCUGGCUAAAUACGUGCCAGCAGCCGCGGUAAUACGUAUGGGGCGAGCGUUGUCCGGAAUUAUUGGGCGUAAAGGGUACGUAGGCGGUUUUUUAAGUCAGGUGUCAAAGCGUGGAGCUUAACUCCAUUAAGCACUUGAAACUGAAAGACUUGAGUGAAGGAGAGGAAAGUGGAAUUCCUAGUGUAGCGGUGAAAUGCGUAGAUAUUAGGAGGAAUACCGGUGGCGAAGGCGACUUGCUGGGCACAAUCUGACGCUGAGGAACGAAAGCGUGGGGAGCAAACAGG